UACGUAGGUGGCAAGCGUUGUCCGGAUUUAUUGGGUUUAAAGGGUGCGUAGGCGGUCUUUUAAGUCAGUGCUGAAAUCCUCCAGCUUAACUGGAGGGGUGGCAUUGAUACUGGAAGACUUGAGUGCAGUCGAGGUAGGCGGAAUUGACGGUGUAGCGGUGAAAUGCUUAGAUAUCGUCAAGAACACCGAUAGUGAAGACAGCUUACUAGGCUGCAACUGACGCUGAGGCACGAAAGUGUGGGGAGCAAACAGG
This 253-nucleotide ribosomal RNA is filed under the name uncultured bacterium. Its description in RNAcentral is "partial 16S ribosomal RNA". It matches the Rfam family "Bacterial small subunit ribosomal RNA", at positions 524 to 776 of the family's 1533-position model. The record is from RNAcentral.